This 1229-nucleotide ribosomal RNA is filed under the name metagenome. RNAcentral describes it as "bacterial SSU rRNA". It matches the Rfam family "Bacterial small subunit ribosomal RNA", at positions 8 to 1221 of the family's 1533-position model. The record is from RNAcentral.
AGAGUUUGAUCCUGGCUCAGAACGAACGCUGGCGGCGUGCCUAACACAUGCAAGUCGAGCGAGAAAGCCCGCAAGGGUGAGUAAAGCGGCGCACGGGUGAGUAACACGUGGGUAAUCUGCCCUGGAGUCCGGAAUAACUCGCCGAAAGGCGCGCUAAUGCCGGAUAAGACCACGGGAGCCUCGGCUCCUGAGGGAAAAGGUGGCCUCUGUACACAAGCUAUCUCUCCAGGAUGAGCCCGCGUCCCAUCAGCUCGUUGGCGGGGUAAUGGCCCACCAAGGCUACGACGGGUAGCUGGUCUGAGAGGACGAUCAGCCACACUGGAACUGAGACACGGUCCAGACUCCUACGGGAGGCAGCAGUGGGGAAUCUUGCGCAAUGGGCGAAAGCCUGACGCAGCAACGCCGCGUGUGUGAUGAAGGUCUUCGGAUCGUAAAGCACUGUCGCGAGGGACGGAUAAGUCUUCGGCUAACAUCCGGGGACGAUGACGGUACCUCGAGAGGAAGCACCGGCUAACUCUGUGCCAGCAGCCGCGGUAAUACAGAGGGUGCAAGCGUUGUUCGGAAUUAUUGGGCGUAAAGCGCGUGUAGGCGGUCUGCCAAGUCGGGUGUGAAAGCCCUCGGCUUAACCGAGGAAGUGCGCCCGAAACUAGCAGACUUGAGUACCGGAGAGGGUGGCGGAAUUCCCGGUGUAGAGGUGAAAUUCGUAGAUAACGGGAGGAACACCAGCGGCGAAGGCGGCCACCUGGACGGAUACUGACGCUGAGACGCGAAAGCGUGGGUAACAAACAGGAUUAGAUACCCUGGUAGUCCACGCUGUAAACGAUGAGCGCUAGGUGUUGUGGGUGUUGACCCCCGCAGUGCCGCAGCUAACGCAUUAAGCGCUCCGCCUGGGAAGUACGGCCGCAAGGCUAAAACUCAAAGGAAUUGACGGGGGCCCGCACAAGCGGUGGAGCAUGUGGUUUAAUUCGACGACGCGCAGAACCUUACCUGGUCUUGACAUCCUCGGAAUCCUUCAGAGAUGAGGGGGUGCCCGCAAGGGAACCGAGAGACAGGUGCUGCAUGGCUGUCGUCAGCUCGUGUCGUGAGAUGUUGGGUUAAGUCCCGCAACGAGCGCAACCCUUGUCAUUAGUUGCUACGAAAGGGCACUCUAAUGAGACUGCCGGUGACAAACCGGAGGAAGGUGGGGAUGACGUCAGGUCCUCAUGGCCCUUAUGGGUAGGGCUACACAC